Molecule: ribosomal RNA, 492 nt
Filed under: uncultured bacterium
Lineage: Bacteria
Description: partial 16S ribosomal RNA
Rfam family: Bacterial small subunit ribosomal RNA
Source: RNAcentral
AGUGAACGCUGGCGGUAGGCCUAACACAUGCAAGUCGAACGGCAGCACAGUAAGAGCUUGCUCUUACGGGUGGCGAGUGGCGGACGGGUGAGGAAUAAAUCGGAAUCUACUUUUUCGUGGGGGAUAACGUAGGGAAACUUACGCUAAUACCGCAUACGACCUACGGGUGAAAGCAGGGGAUCUUCGGACCUUGCGCGAUUGAAUGAGCCGAUGUCGGAUUAGCUAGUUGGCGGGGUAAAGGCCCACCAAGGCGACGAUCCGUAGCUGGUCUGAGAGGAUGAUCAGCCACACUGGAACUGAGACACGGUCCAGACUCCUACGGGAGGCAGCAGUGGGGAAUAUUGGACAAUGGGCGCAAGCCUGAUCCAGCCAUACCGCGUGUGUGAAGAAGGCCUUCGGGUUGUAAAGCCCUUUUGUUGGGAAAGAAAAGCAGCAGGUUAAUACCCCGCUGUUCUGACGGUACCCAAAGAAUAAGCACCGGCUAACUUCGUG